ACGGCGGAGGACAUUA
RNAcentral lists this ribosomal RNA (16 nucleotides) under Colletotrichum tanaceti. RNAcentral describes it as "partial 18S ribosomal RNA". Lineage: Eukaryota; Fungi; Ascomycota; Sordariomycetes; Glomerellales; Glomerellaceae. The record is from RNAcentral.